Long non-coding RNA from Asparagus officinalis (garden asparagus), 1134 nucleotides. RefSeq lists it as uncharacterized. The transcript has 5 exons. NCBI's taxonomy places the organism in Eukaryota, Viridiplantae, Streptophyta, Magnoliopsida, Asparagales, Asparagaceae. The record is from RefSeq and is a predicted model, not a curated record.
CUUAUUUCCGUUCAACCGAACCCAAAUUUGCCUCCCCCCUCUUUUUAUUUAUUUAUCGACCGCCUAUCUCACCAUCAUCAUUAUCGUUGUCUCGAGCUCAAAACCCUCACUAUCAUGUUUCAAUUCGCUAUAAGGAGAGCAGCGACUGGAACUAGAUCACUAGGUUCGAGAUUUUACACAACGGGGAGCAGAUCCGAUGCUCCUCAUCACGAGGGAGUCGCUCGCCAAAUGAUCCAGUACGCGCUCGGGCACGCUUGAUCUGAGAAAUCAGGAGAAUCGUACGCUCAAGCGAUGAUGAUAUUGGAGCAAGGGCGGUCGAAUCUUGAAGGUGGUGGUGAUACUGAGAAUGCUAGGGAACUGUUCAUGCUCGCUAUGUCCACCUUGAUCUAUGAAAGAGGGGAGAUUGGAGAUGCCUUGGAGACGCUCCAGAUGGUUCGCCAGUCCGAGCGUGCAUCUCAUACGCUCAAAGAUUCGAGGGACUGGAUUGAUUCUUGGAACAGAAUUCACCGAUAACAAGUCUCCUAAUGAUAUUUUCCCAUCUGAAUGGCGGACCGUACCUCGAGGACGCUGAUUGGAGCGGGUGAGCUUUCGAGGGGGGUUUAUUGGUACAAAGCUAUACAGACGCAUUCAGCAAUGAAAGUAAAGCGAGAUGACUCACACUUAGUUUGGCAUCAACGACUGGGACAUCAAAAUAGUCGGCAUCUAUCUUUUAUCUCGGAUAUUGGUCAUUUUGAUUCUAUAAAUAAGCUUGUCUGUGAUGUUUGCUAUAGAGCUAAACAGACACGAUCUCCUUUCCCUUUGAGUAAGAGUAAUGCUACUACUUGUUUUGAAUUAGUUCAUUGUGAUUUAUGGGGACCAUAUUCAAAACCUGCUUCAUGUGGUGCAUUCUAUUUCCUCACUUUGGUUGAUGAUUAUAGUAGAGGAGUUUGGGUUUAUUUAAUGAAAGAAAAGAGUGAAGCUAAAAAAUUUCUUAUGCUAUUUUGUAAAUUCAUCAAGACACAAUUCGAUAAAUCUGUGAAGCGAAUUCGAAGUGAUAAUGGUCUUGAAUUUGAGGGGCCUAUGCGAACUUUUUAUGAGGAAAAUGGAAUAGUGCAUGAAACUAGUUGUACAUAUACACCCCAACAAAAUGGAAGA